Molecule: ribosomal RNA, 357 nt
Filed under: uncultured bacterium
Lineage: Bacteria
Description: partial 16S ribosomal RNA
Rfam family: Bacterial small subunit ribosomal RNA
Source: RNAcentral
CCUACGGGAGGCAGCAGUGAGGAAUAUUGGUCAAUGGGCGCGAGCCUGAACCAGCCAAGUAGCGUGAAGGAUGACUGCCCUACGGGUUGUAAACUUCUUUUAUAAAGGAAUAAAGUGAGGCACGUGUGCCUUUUUGUAUGUACUUUAUGAAUAAGGAUCGGCUAACUCCGUGCCAGCAGCCGCGGUAAUACGGAGGAUCCGAGCGUUAUCCGGAUUUAUUGAGUUUAAAGGGAGCGUAGAUGGGUUGUUAAGUCAGGUGUGAAAGUUUGCGGCUCAACCGUAAAAUUGCAAUUGAUACUGGGAGUCUUGAGGACAGUUGGGGUAGGGGGAAUUCGGGGUGUAGCGGUGAAAUGGUUA